UUAACCCAUUUAACAACUCAAACCAUUAAAUUAAAUGAGUUAUGGGUUGACCCAACCCAUUUAACAAAAUGAGUUUGGUCAACCCAUAACUCAUUUAACCAUAAACUCGUUGAGUUGAGU
Molecule: microRNA precursor, 120 nt
Filed under: Arabidopsis thaliana (thale cress)
Lineage: Eukaryota; Viridiplantae; Streptophyta; Magnoliopsida; Brassicales; Brassicaceae
Also listed under: 1 other name
Description: microRNA MIR405
Rfam family: MIR405 microRNA precursor family
Source: RNAcentral